Perca fluviatilis (European perch) is the source of this 470-nucleotide long non-coding RNA. RefSeq lists it as uncharacterized. The transcript is spliced from 3 exons. NCBI's taxonomy places the organism in Eukaryota, Metazoa, Chordata, Actinopteri, Perciformes, Percidae. The record is from RefSeq and is a predicted model, not a curated record.
CUGUGACGUCAGCAGCAGAGAGCAAAGAUGGCGGCGGUGACCAGAGGCUCCUUCGCUGUUCUCAGACGGCUGGAACAACUGUGCUCCUUGGAGUGUCUCUUUGUCAGCUAACUGGCUAGCUUGCGUGGAGCUGAAAGUGCUCCGACCCAGAGAGAGCCUUCUACUCCAAAAUGUUCCCUAUAGUGACCAGGAAGAAGUCAGGACAGACCACCUGAUUGCACCUUUUUCACCAAAAGGAGACUUCCUAUCAUCCAGUAUCUCCUGUCUGCAUUUGAAAGGAUUUAACCCAAAACUAAGUUCCAGCUUGUUUAGGCCCUUCUGAACAAAGACCAGUUUAAAGAUCAUUACUGCAUGGAGAUAUGUACCUAUAUGUAUCUACUGUUCUGCUUUCAGAAACCUGGGCUGUAAACUGGAUGCUCUAAUUUCAUGUACAGUAUUUCGUCAGAUGUAAUUUAAAUGUUUUCAUUUGA